CAAACAUGGCGGCAUUAGAGCAGUGAAUGCUUGUUGCCUUGUGAAAUUUACGAGGUUCAAUAUAAAUGCUGCCAUCAGCAAUGACAUGUUGAGACACUGAACAGUUUGGGGUUCUAGUCUCACGUCAUCAGAAAUGGCAAACGUCCAAACGCCACACGAGAAGGUGGUCAAAUCCCAUGUGGAGCAGAAUCCUCCACAAACCUCCCAGACGUCUAAAAGCAGCUACUGCAUUUUGUGUCGCAGCUGGUAUUUGAGGCAUGAAGCACACGAGCAUAUGCACAGCAUGCUGCAUCACAGAGAGCUGGAGUCAGUGUUGGGCAAAGAUUCCUUUCAUGACUGUCAGGCAUGCAAAGCUUCCUCCAUGGGUUUAAAUGAGUAUGCCCAGCACAUCUCGACCGUUCAGCACAAAGCCAAGUUGAAGAGCUUGAUGUCCAAAAAUGUGAAGCCCCUGUCUCUGUUUAAGACUCUCAGCACAGAGUCUAUAACCCAGAUCAAGGAGAGAAACAAGGCACUGAAAAGAGAGAAGAAGAAAGUAACAAAAAAAAAGAAAAAGAAACUGAAGCAGGUGGCUGGUCAGAGGCGUGCUCAUUUGUCAAAGGGAACCACCAAAACAAAGACUGGUGCAUCCAAAGUGGAAAAGCAUAGACAGUCAAAACAGGUGCAGCUGGAGCAAAGGCAGAAUGAUGAGCACAAAGGCAGGAGCAAUGGUGUCGUCCAGAACAAGGAGAACAAAGUAUCCAGUAAGCAAAGACCUCCUCACAAUGCAGAAUCAAGCCUUCAUUGUCAAAGCAGGAGACUGGCUCCUAUGUCUGGAGAGCCCGAAGGUCGAAGCUGGCAUAACGCUUCUGUCAACAAUCAGCCCUGCCGAGUCAAACUUGUGACCUCCCAAAUGGAAAGAUUCGUCGAGACUCAAGGGGGUGCCACCGACCUCUGGCACCAGAUGGCAGGACCUUCUGUGAGCCAGUACAACUAUCGCAGCAGGAAGUAUAAUGGUGCAACAAACACAGUCUUCACCAGCGACCAGCUCCCUGAUAAUGGAGCCAUCAUCUUUGAUCGGAGCCAAGCUGCGACUACACGGCAGGAAAGUGUACGCCGCUCAGCUCAACCUGCACCGGCCAACAGCGCAGCUCCUAUACGAGAAGUUGAUGUCACUGCCAUGCUGAAGCAAAUCAGAAGAGCGCUGGGUGUGAGGGAGCCAUGCAGAGCAGACCGAGAAGCCCGGAGACAGAAGAGUGAGGCCGGCGUCCAGGUGGCUGAUCCCGUGACCUCACAACAAAGCAGAACUGAGGCAGAGCAGCCAGCAGGCACCUCCGCUCUGACUGAAAAAGCUCAGGACCAUGAAAAGAGCUCAGGAGGUGCAGACAGACUGCCAAACAACGGGAAUAAUGCAUCUCAGGUGGCCACCAACGGCCUGACUUCACCUAAAAGAUGUACUGAAAAGACCGCUUCAUCUGAGCCGGACUCAAACAAACCUAAGGUUCGAAUUGCUCACAAAGCAGGCCAAGCUCAUGGGGAGAAGGAGGCUGGAUGUAAAUCAACUACAAACACGUUGCUUAGCUUUUCGGGGGCCAGGAGUAAUCAGAACUGGACAGCAGGGCAUGAGGAGGUGAAAAGGAAGGCAAAAGGCACGCAGAGGUGAGGAAAUCGCCAUCCAAUAAGGUGUUUCGUUGUAUUUGUGCUUUCCCAGUUUG
Astatotilapia calliptera (eastern happy) is the source of this 1691-nucleotide long non-coding RNA. NCBI's taxonomy places the organism in Eukaryota, Metazoa, Chordata, Actinopteri, Cichliformes, Cichlidae. The record is from Ensembl.